GCGAGGGUUGCCAAGCCAGGUCAAAGGCGUUGGAUUCAGGGUCCAAUCUCGUAGGAGUUCGGGGGUUCAAAUCCCUUCCCUCGCA
Molecule: transfer RNA, 85 nt
Filed under: Methanomicrobiales archaeon
Lineage: Archaea; Methanobacteriati; Methanobacteriota; Methanomicrobia; Methanomicrobiales
Description: tRNA-Leu
Rfam family: tRNA
About the family: Transfer RNA (tRNA) molecules are approximately 80 nucleotides in length. Their secondary structure includes four short double-helical elements and three loops (D, anti-codon, and T loops).
Source: RNAcentral